CACCGUCUGAGGCCACUUCGAGCCUACUGGAUCCCUGGUUCCGACCCAGUAGGAUCACAGAAGCAGGGCCAGCUGCCAGGCUUCUGCAAAAGACUUGAGACAGCUCACAAUGAAGUACUCUGUAUUAGGCAGGGUAAUAUUGAUUGCAAGUGACAGAAACCCAAUCAGAAACUCACUGGAGUCAUGAGGAACACUUAUUGGCUCAGAGUAAAGGCAUGGACCUUCAGAGAAAUAAAGUCUGGGAAAUUGACUAGAUCCUCACUGAAAGAACUACUAAAGGAUGUACUUAUGGAAGAAGAAAAUUACAAAGUGAAAGAACUGGGAUGCAAGAAGUAAUGUUCCCAACAUGAUGUGAACAACAUCUGUGCUGGUUGAAUGAAUGAGUGGUGUUGAAAGCAUCUACAUCAGGGGUGUCCAAUCUUUCAGCUUCCCUGGGCUACACUGGAAGAAGAAUAAUUUUCUUGCACCACAUAUAAAAUACACUAACACUACUGAUAGCUGAUGAGCUAAAAAAAAUCACAAAAAAAUCUCAUGUUUUAAGAAAGUUUAUGAAUUUGUGUUGGGCCACAUCCAAAGCCAUCCUGGGCUGCAUGCAGCCUGAGGCCAUGGGUUGGACAAGCUUGACUACAGCUUUAAAGUGAUCUUAAUCUAAUCAAUUCUUCCCCAUUCAGAAGAAACCUACUACAUCAGAGUCUAUUGAGAAUCUAUCUCCCUAAUCACCCUCAGGCACAGGGUUAUUAUGUAUUGAUAUCAUACACACUAAAAAAUUCCAUCAUACAGGUCUAGAAAUACUUCCAUAAUACAGUAAUAUUUUAAUAGAGUCAUAACACACAGACAGCCACCCAUUCUGCCUGUAGCCAGUCAUGGAGCAAUACAUUUUGUACAUAACCUGUAAUUUCUUCUGGAGAGUGUAAUUACAAUGCCAAUAUGACAUUUUAUUUUUAUUAUUAUUAUUUAGUUAGUUAGUCAGUUAUUUUUUGAGACAGAGUCUCACUCUGUCACCAGGCUGGAGUGCAGUGGUGCGAUCUCGGCUCACUGCAACCUCUGCCUCCCAGGUUCAAGUGAUUCUUCUGCCUUAGCCUCCCGAGUAGCUGGGACUAUGGGUGCCCACCACCACACCUGGCUAAUUUUUGUAUUUUUAGUAGAGACGGGGUUUCACCAUGUUAGCCAGGAUGGUCUAGGGGUUGAUAAACUACAGUGCACAGGCCAAAUCUGGUUUACUGCCUGAUUUUGUAAAUAAAGUUUUAUUGGAACACA
RNAcentral lists this non-coding RNA (1257 nucleotides) under Pan troglodytes (chimpanzee). Lineage: Eukaryota; Metazoa; Chordata; Mammalia; Primates; Hominidae. The record is from RNAcentral.